RNAcentral lists this ribosomal RNA (219 nucleotides) under uncultured bacterium. Its description in RNAcentral is "partial 16S ribosomal RNA". It matches the Rfam family "Bacterial small subunit ribosomal RNA", at positions 524 to 740 of the family's 1533-position model. The record is from RNAcentral.
UACGUAGGCAGCAAGCGUUGUUCGGAGUUACUGGGCGUAAAGGGUGCGUAGGCGGUUGUUUAAGUUUGGUGUGAAAUCUCCCGGCUCAACUGGGAGGGUGCGCCGAAUACUGAAUGACUAGAGUGCGGGAGAGGAUAAGUGGAAUUCCUGGUGUAGCGGUGAAAUGCGUAGAUAUCAGGAGGAACACCGGUGGUGUAGACGGCUAUCUGGGACCGUAAC